CUCUCGGGGUUACAGCCUUGCUGAAUUAUUCACCCUUGUCUUUUGCGUACUUCUUGUUUCCUUGGUGGGUUCGCCCACCACUAGGACAAACAUAAACCUUUUGUAAUUGCAAUCAGCGUCAGUAACAAAUUAAUAAUUACAACUUUCAACAACGGAUCUCUUGGUUCUGGCAUCGAUGAAGAACGCAGCGAAAUGCGAUAAGUAGUGUGAAUUGCAGAAUUCAGUGAAUCAUCGAAUCUUUGAACGCACAUUGCGCCCUUUGGUAUUCCAAAGGGCAUGCCUGUUCGAGCGUCAUUUGUACCCUCAAGCUUUGCUUGGUGUUGGGCGUCUUGUCUCUAGCUUUGCUGGAGACUCGCCUUAAAGUAAUUGGCAGCCGGCCUACUGGUUUCGGAGCGCAGCACAAGUCGCACUCUCUAUCAGCAAAGGUCUAGCAUCCAUUAAGCCUUUUUUUCAACUUUUGACCUCGGAUCAGGUAGGGAUACCCGCUGAACUUAAGCAUAUCAAUAAGCGGAGGAAA
RNAcentral lists this ribosomal RNA (517 nucleotides) under Alternaria arborescens. Its description in RNAcentral is "eukaryotic LSU rRNA". The stretch from base 141 to 294 matches the Rfam family "5.8S ribosomal RNA". The record is from RNAcentral. Lineage: Eukaryota; Fungi; Ascomycota; Dothideomycetes; Pleosporales; Pleosporaceae.